Long non-coding RNA from Myotis lucifugus (little brown bat), 486 nucleotides. RefSeq lists it as uncharacterized. The record is from RefSeq and is a predicted model, not a curated record. NCBI's taxonomy places the organism in Eukaryota, Metazoa, Chordata, Mammalia, Chiroptera, Vespertilionidae. The transcript is spliced from 3 exons.
AUGGAGGGACCCUGGCGGGAACCCCAGCAGGUCCUUAUCCUGACUCCUCGGCGAGUGCAGCUUCAUCUCAGGAAGGAGCGAGUGGAGCUAAAUAACUACCUGAACAAGUUCUUGCUCUCUGCCAAAGCCAGCACCUCCCACAGUGCAGCUGUGGGUGCAACCUCAGCAGACCCCUGGAGCAUGCCAGCGCCUCCUCCUGACCAGGAACCAACCUGGGCCACACCAAGCAAGGUGACCGAGCUCUCACCAGGUGAGGGAAAGAGUCCCCCACGCUAAGAGCCCUGGCUAAAAAAUGCUCCGCAGAGGAUGUAUGGAGAAACCAUAAAUUCAGGACUUUGAACCUGCGAACAAGAGAAGCCGCCCUCAUCUAGACAUGCCGGAUUGUUGUCAGAGGGCUGGUGUGAACUCAGCUCAUUUUUACACACACUCUGCCCUGUCUUCGUCUGCUCAGCUGCCAUAACAGAAUACCACAGGCUGCAGGCAUAG